RNAcentral lists this ribosomal RNA (472 nucleotides) under uncultured bacterium. RNAcentral describes it as "SSU rRNA". It matches the Rfam family "Bacterial small subunit ribosomal RNA", at positions 26 to 518 of the family's 1533-position model. The record is from RNAcentral.
AGGACGAACGCUGGCGGCGUGCUUAACACAUGCAAGUCGAGCGGAAAGGCCCUUCGGGGUACUCGAGCGGCGAACGGGUGAGUAACACGUGAGUAAUCUGCCCCUAGCUCUGGGAUAGCUCCGGGAAACCGGGAUUAAUACCGGAUACGACCACCUUAGACAUCUUUUGUGGUGGAAAGAAUUUCGGCUAGGGAUGAGCUCGCGGCCUAUCAGCUUGUUGGUGGGGUAAUGGCCUACCAAGGCGACGACGGGUAGCCGGCCUGAGAGGGCGACCGGCCACACUGGGACUGAGACACGGCCCAGACUCCUACGGGAGGCAGCAGUGGGGAAUAUUGCGCAAUGGGCGAAAGCCUGACGCAGCGACGCCGCGUGGGGGAUGAAGGCCUUCGGGUUGUAAACCCUUCAGCAGGGACGAAGCGAAAGUGACGGUACCUGCAGAAGAAGCGCCGGCUAACUACGUGCCAGCAGCCGC